Molecule: non-coding RNA, 1572 nt
Organism: Gossypium hirsutum (cotton)
Lineage: Eukaryota; Viridiplantae; Streptophyta; Magnoliopsida; Malvales; Malvaceae
Source: Rfam
UAUUAUACAGAAUAAAAGGUCGAGAAAAAAGACGAGGACAAAAGAGAAAAAUACAAAAGAGAAAAGAAAAUGCUCCAGGGAAUUGAAAAUAAGCAAAGAUCCGGAGAUUCCCGAAUAAAUCAACCUUUCGAACUGCUACUGAAUCCAUGGGUAGACAAGAGACAACCUGGCGAACUGAAACAUAUUAGUAGCCGGAGGAAAAGAAAGCAAAAGCAAUUCCCGUAGUAGCUAGGAGCGAAAUAAGAGCAACCUAAAUCGUGAAAACGGGGUUGUGGGAGAGCAAUAAAAGCGUCAUGUUGCUAGGCGAAGCUGUGAAGUGCAGAAUCCUAGAUGGCGAUAGUCCAAUAGCCGAAAGCAUCACUAGCUUACACUCUGACCCGAGUAGCAUGGGGCAUGUGGAAUCCUGUGUGAAUCAACAAGGACCACCUUGGAAGGCUAAAUACUCCUGAGCGACCGAUAGCAAAGUAGUACCGUGAGGGAGGGUGGAAAGAACCCCCGUCGAGGAGUGAAAUAGAACAUGAAACCAUAAGCUCCCAAGCAGUGGGAGGAGCCCAGGGCUCUAACCGCAUGCCUGUUGAAGAAUGAGCCAACGACUCAUAGGCAGUGGCUUGGUUAAGGGAACCCACCGAAGCCGUAACGAAAGCGCGUCUUCAUAGGGCAAUUGUCACUGCUUAUGGACUGGAACCUGGGUAAUCUAUCCAUGACCAGGAUGAAGCUUAGGUGAAACUAAGUAGAGGUCCAAACCGACUGAUAUUGAAGAACCAACGGAUGAGUUGCGGUUAAGGGUGAAAUGCCACUCAAACCCAAAGUUAGCUGGUUCUCCCCAAACUGCGUUGAGGCGCAACAGUUUACUGGACAUCUAGGGGUAAAGCACUGUUUCGGUGCAGGCAGCGUGAACGGUACCAAAUUGAGGCAAACUCUAAAUACUAGAUAUAACCUCAAAAUAACAGGGGUCGAGGUCAGCCAGUGAAACGAUAGGGGAUAAGCUUUAUCGGCUCCUAAAUAACCGCUCAAUGAUAAAAGAGGCAGGAGUGCAGAGGCAGCCAAGAGGGUUGCCUAGAAGCAACCACCCUUGAAAGAGUGCGUACUAGCUCACUGAUCGAACACUCUUACGCCGAAGAUGAACGGGGCUAAGCGAUCUGCCGAAGCUAUGGGGUGUAAAAAUGCAUCGAUAAGGGAUCAUUCCGCCUUAAGGGGAAGCACCCGCAUGAGCGGGAAUAGACGAAGCGAAAACGAAAAUCCAAUACCCCAAGAACCCAAGGGUUCCUCAGCAAGGUUCAUCCAUAGAGGGUGAGCCAGGGCCUAAGAUCAAACCGAAAAGCGUAGUUGAUGGACAAGUGAAUAUUCCUGUACUACCCAUUGUUGGCCCGAAGGACAAAGGCUAGGUUAGUCGAAAGAUGGUUAUCAGUUCAAGGACCCAAGGUGUUAAGAAUACUUUUUUUAAUGGAGAUCUAGUGGGUGUACAUAAAUAUUCCAUUGGUCUUUGAAGCACAGACCACUAAGAACAAGUUGUGCAAACUAACAAGAUAUCUAUAUGGGCUCAAGCAAUCUUCUUGAGCUUCGUUUGAUAAU